This 496-nucleotide ribosomal RNA is filed under the name uncultured bacterium. RNAcentral describes it as "partial 16S ribosomal RNA". It matches the Rfam family "Bacterial small subunit ribosomal RNA", at positions 29 to 507 of the family's 1533-position model. The record is from RNAcentral.
AUGAACGCCGGCGGCGUGCCUAAUACAUGCAAGUCGAGCGAACGGACGAGAAGCUUGCUUUUCUGAUGUUAGCGGCGGACGGGUGAGUAACACGUGGAUAACCUACCUAUAAGACUGGGAUAACUUCGGGAAACCGGAGCUAAUACCGGAUAAUAUUUUGAACCGCAUGGUUCAAAAGUGAAAGACGGUCUUGCUGUCACUUAUAGAUGGAUCCGCGCUGCAUUAGCUAGUUGGUAAGGUAACGGCUUACCAAGGCAACGAUGCAUAGCCGACCUGAGAGGGUGAUCGGCCACACUGGAACUGAGACACGGUCCAGACUCCUACGGGAGGCAGCAGUAGGGAAUCUUCCGCAAUGGGCGAAAGCCUGACGGAGCAACGCCGCGUGAGUGAUGAAGGUCUUCGGAUCGUAAAACUCUGUUAUUAGGGAAGAACAUAUGUGUAAGUAACUGUGCACAUCUUGACGGUACCUAAUCAGAAAGCCACGGCUAACUACGUG